This 21722-nucleotide long non-coding RNA is filed under the name Hordeum vulgare. RNAcentral describes it as "long non-coding RNA (HVUL_LNC006383)". The stretch from base 8209 to 8341 matches the Rfam family "MIR1120/MIR1122 microRNA precursor family". The record is from RNAcentral. Lineage: Eukaryota; Viridiplantae; Streptophyta; Magnoliopsida; Poales; Poaceae.
GUCGCGGCCGCCUCCGUACGCCGGAGCGGGGGCGUGGCGCCCGUAGUCACCCCCGCCGUACCCGGCCGGCGCGGGCGCGUGGCGCCCGUAGUCGUCCUCGCGCCCCCCACCGUAGGCCGGGGCGCGGCCGCCGUAGUCGUCCUCGCGCCCCCCACCGUAGGCCGGGGCGCGGCCGCCGUAGUCGUCCUCGCGCCCCCCACCGUAGGCCGGGGCGCGGCCGCCGUAGUCGUCCUCGCGGCCGCCACCGUAGGCGGGGGGCGGGGCGCCGUAGGCGACGUCGUCGGGGCGGCGGCCGUAGGACGGGGGAGGGGCGCCGUAGGGGUCGGGCUCUUGGCGGCCGUAGGGGGCGGGGGGGCGGCGGUCGUCGUCGUCGUCGUCGCGGCGGCCGUGGCCGUGGCCGUGGCGGUGAGGGAACUCCAUGAUUGAUUGGCCUGUCGGUGGUGGUGGUCGGGACUCGGGAAAUGGGAACGCGGGGGGGUGGUGGAGGUGGAUCCGAUCCGAGCCUAAAUAUGUCGCGUCGCCGGAGUACAUGUCGACGGGCGGGUGAGGUGAGCGCGCGACGUGGCGCCAAUGGGACGCGCUCGCACGACCGACCGACCGACCGGCCGGGCCGAUUCAAUUUCGCAACUGGGCGAUGGCGAUCGGUGGAUCGCCACGUGCACAGCUUUGCACUACACACGUCGCGGAUGGUGGAAAAAUCGUGGUCGUAUCUCAUCCGUUGUUUCUUUUCCUUCGGAUGCCGCGGGAGAUCGGAUCGUAUCAAGCCAAACCAGUCAAGUACCAGCUCAACAAAAAUCAACCGAGCACUCAAUUAUUGCUUGAAUUUCAAGAAGAAAAAAAGGGAAAAGGAGAAUUCGAUGUGGUGUGUACGCUGUGGCCCAAUGGUGCAGCUGCGAGUUCUGAUUUCUUGUUUGAUUGGGGUUGCAUGCGCGGAGGCAGCGGGCGCCAGACGGCGAAUCCUAUUUGACGCUGCAAGCGUCGGUUAAAGUGUAUUUUUCUUAACUGACGCCUGCAGUUUUCGGUCAUGGCCGACCCUUCGGGAGGCGGUUUUUCCGUCUUUGUGAAGGUUCCGCAAGCUUUCUAGAUGGAUUUUCUUAUUUAUGUUUUUUAGGACUGGUUCUUCUUUGGUUUAUCUUUUUUUCUUUAUUAUUUUUAUUACUUUUUCAUUUUCGUUUUAAUAUUUAUAUAAUUUUUACUUUUUGAAAAACGCAGCCAUUUCUUGAUUAACUUUUUCUCAAACGAACAAAUAUUUUUUCAGAUCAAUGAACCUUUUUCAGAAUUAUAUGUUCUUUUAUUAAAAUUCUAUGAACAUUUGUGAAUAUCGAUGAACUUUUUUCAAAUUAUGAUGAACGUUUUUCUGAUUGAUGAACUUUUUGAAAUGGAUGAACCUUUUUAAGAAUUGUGAAAAAAAAUUCAGUUCAACAAUUUUUUUAAAAAAAAAUCAAAUUCAUGAACUAAUUUUCAAAAUCCGUUAACUUUUUAAAAAUGUGAGAAGUUUUUUUUCAGAUCACAAUGAAUUUUUUCAAAUUCGUUAACUUUUUGUUUCAAAAUUGGUGAACCAUUUUUCGCUUUUAUGAACCUUUUAUGUUCUUUUUUUUUUGGUUUUUAUUAUAAAAAACCCACCUUGAGCCUGGGCCGGCCCGUUAUGCACGGUGUGUGGGCGCUAGUUCUCCUAGCUGGCGCUUAAGGCGCCGCCUCGCCGCUAUGAGCUCCCGGGCCAUACCCCCCCCCCCCACCCAAGGAACUAGUAGUAAUAUAUUGGCUUAAUUAUACGAUGGACUUAAUCCACUUGUUGACUCGUACCUGCUAAUCGAUCCACACGAUCAACGAUACGCACACACUAAUCCAAUUUGAUGUUAUCGACUCUUUCCUCGGCGACGCACCAGUCGCUAGGGUUUCAUUGACGCCGCCGUGCUGGUCGCCGGUUGUCGCGUCGGGCCGCCACCGCCGACCCGCUGUGCUCCGCCCGUCAUCGACCGUGCUGCCGCCGACCAUGCAUCAAUCGAGUACAGAGAGUCCACACAGGCUAAGAAGUUGAACGGCGCUGCCGCAAGCCCACACACAAUCCCUAACCGAUGCUGUGCAGCUGUGUUGUGAUCAGAAGACGAGGUCUUGAUGUAAUGUAAGGUGUACAAUUGUCUAGUGUCUACAGACCAGGUUUCAUAUUAUUGUGGUUGUCACUUGUUGGUUUGAUUCAUUCAAUAGAUCAAUUAAUCAAUUGUUAGUACUUAGUAGUUAGUAAUAAUUUAUUUUGAUACUUGUGAGAUCAAUUACAUAUUUUCUUUUUACUUAAUGGAAGAACUGAAAACUGCAUAGGUCAUGAAUAAGAGGAAGACAUCACCGAUAAGUAAUGGUUUCAACCAAUUGCUACAAACUCUAACUCUGCGAUUGAAAAUGCAAAUGCAAGUGUCAAGGUAGAUGUCACACAGCAACCCACUGGUCAUAAUGUCCCCAAUCUCAGUUCAGUUGAUAUGCCACCCCCCGAGCAAAAUAUUCAGGUAUCUGUGGAAGUUCUAGAACAGCAAAGAAUUGGAAGCACACCAUUUGAGCGAGACCCUGGAAAGCGCAAAUAAAUUUGGGAACUCCCUCUUGAGAAGCAAAAUGAAGCACCUUGAUCGUAAAUCUCUCGAAAACUCGUCACUAUAGCUUAUCUGUGGUGGCACCAAUACUGUUAGAGAUUGGAGAGCUAGUUUCCUCUUUUUCUUCCUUUUACAUUUAACAUGUAAAUCCGUCAUCCAACGUACCGGGCCAUCUUUGUGCAAAGUUUGCUUGCACACUGACGGUCAUCGAAAGUUGGAUGGAUUUGAGACCCUCUUUCCUGCUCAUCAGCUUAUUGAUUGAUGAUGCCAGGAGGCAGGAGCUCUUUUGUUGAAUAAAGCUCUCUGACUGGAACACAAAAAAAGACACAACCAUUCAAAAAUGAUUGUGACAUUUACAAAAGUAUUCACGCUCUUCAAACAUAUGUUCACAACAUUUUCAGGAAAUGUCUAUACAACAGUAAAGAAAGUUAUGUAACUUCAAAUAAAUUGUACUACCAUUAAAAAAACUUUGUGUCAUCAUAAAAAAGGUUCACACGUUUCAAAAACAUGUUCGUAUUGUUUUUCUACAUAUGUUCGUACCAUUCAAAAAAUGUUUGUGACAUUGAGAAAAAUGUGCAUGUGUUUCGGAAAAAAUGUUGUUGAUUUUUUUAUACAAAUGUAAAAAAAAGUUUGCUUAGUUUAGAAGAAAAAAUAUUAUACCAUAAAAAAUAUGAUCAAAUAUGUAUUCCAAAAAAGUUGGACACGUAUUCAAAAAAAAUGUUCAAAGCAUUUAAAAAAAAACUAAUGUGUAUCAAAAAUAGUUGCUGAUGUACACAAAAAUGUACAACAUAUAUGAAAAAAUAGACAUGUAUUGAGAAAAUGGGGAAAUAUUAAACGUAUACGAAAUAGACAUCUAUUGUGGCAGUUCAAGACAAUAAUCGUAGUCGUCAAAAGGUUCUUCCUUUGCGACAGCAAGAACAACUUGGUGGGUAAUUUGUCAAUUCUUAAAGCCAUUCAUUCACCAUCACUUGAUUAAUUUGUAACUCAGCUAAUUAGCCACUAGCUACGACUAACAUCACUUGCAUAGCUUGUGGGGCAUCACUUUGCUUUCAGCACAAGAAAGUACUUAUAGUUAAUAAGUUAUUUGAGCUAAGUAGCAAUCCAAUGUGCGACGUGGAGUUUCUCAGCCCGCGCUCAACUGAGCUCGAAUGAACAGUAAAAGUAAAGUGAGAAAAACUGCGGCAAACCUAUUUAGCGUGACAGGCAUUGCUUAAAGGAAAAAGUUGCUAACCGGCGCCUGCAGGGCUCCGUAAUGGGCGGGCCCAUGUUGAGAUCCUUCAUGAACUUUUUUUAGCCUGUGAAAUGUUUUAGCCCGUGAUCUUUUUUUGAAAUCGGUAAACUUUUUUGAAAAUCAAUGAUAUUUUUUGGAAAUUCAUGAACAUUUCUGAAAAUCAAUGAACAUAAUUUAAAAUUCAUGAUUUUUUUCAAAAUCAGUGAAAUAUUUUUAAAAAUUGAUGAACUUUUUCAAAAUCAGUGAACUGUUCUUAAAAAUUGAUGAACUUUUUUCAAAAUCAAUGAUUGUUUUUUCGAAUCUUUAAACUUUUUGAAAAUCCAUGAAAAUAUUUUUCAAAAAUAGGUGAACAUUUUCAUAAUAAUUGAACUUUUUUGAAAAUCUGAACUUUUUAAAAUUCUGUGAACUUUUCUCAAAUUUUUAGUGACCAAGACAUUUUUUACAUGGGAGGAGUGCUUCAGGCGCCGGUUUCCCUAACUGGCGCUGAAGGCGCCAAAUACGAGGGGACUUCCUAUACCGUACCUUCAGCGUCCUCUAAGCCAAUUGGCGCUCGAUGUACCUUCCUAUACCGUCCUAUUUAAACUUUUUAAAAAUCCAUGAACAUAUUUUUCAAAAAUAGGUGAACUUUUUUCAUAAUAAUUGAACUUUUUUGAAAAUCUGAACUUUCUAAAAUUCUGUGAACUUUUCUCAAAUUUUUAAUGACCAAGACAUUUUUUACAUGGGAGGAGUGCUGCAGGCGCCGGUUUCCCUAACUGGCGCUGAAGGCGCCAAAUAGGAGGGGACUUCCUAUACCGUACCUUCAGCGUCCUCUAAGCCAAUUGGCGCUCGAUGUACCUUCCUAUACCGUCCUCUUUAAACUUUUUGAAAAUCCAUGAAUAUAUUUUUCAAAAAUAGGUGAACUUUUUUCAUAAUAAUUGAACUUUUUUGAAAAUCUGAACUUUCUUAAAUUCUGUGAACUUUUCUCAAAUUUUUAAUGACCAAGACAUUUUUUACAUUGGCUGGCCCAUGAGGAGGAGUGUUGCACGCGCCGGUUUCCCUAACUGGCGCUGAAGGCGCCAAAUAGGAGGGGACUUCCUAUACCAUACCUUCAGCGUCCUCUAAGCCAAUUGGCGCUCGCUGUAUCGAAUUCAUGGGCCGACCAACGACGCGCAACACAAGCGCAAAAGUCCUAAAAAAUGAUGGGGAUUGAUCUGCGACGGCGCGCUGGCCCAAACUUUUGGCCGGCCGCGCGCGAGCGGCAGGAUCCACCAACCCCGCGUCGUCCGCACCAUUGGAUCCGCAUGCAACAUUUUUUUUUCCUAUGCAGCAAAAUUUCGAUUCGAUGCGAUGCAGCAAUUUUUUUAACGGUUGCAACAAAAAACAAAAAUUGUGCCAAAAAAAUAUUUACGUGAUCGUAGCAAAAAAAUAAAGCUGAUGGUACGUGGUAGCAAAAGUCAAACGCCGAUUGUAACAAAUAUUUAUGUGACGUGUAUGCAACUUUUUUAGUGAACAGUUGCAGCAAACAUGAUGCCGGUUGUAGCAAAAAUUAACACGGUUGUAGCAAAAAGUAAAAAACAUCGAUUGUAACGAAAAAUCCAACGAACUGGUGUUGCAACCAAACGUAUAUGCAGCUUUUUUACUGAAACAAAAAAUAGUAAAAAAACGCUUGCAGCAAAAAUGACGCUGGUUGCAACAUAUUUAGACGAAAAAUGUUGCAUCCAUUGACCAGAAAAGCGCGCGGGUGGAAAAAAUGUUGCAAGGACCCGCGCGCGCGAGGGGAUGACCGGCGCGCGGGUGGGAAACGAUUCCCAAGAAUGAUUGGGGCUUUGACUCGAACUCAGGUCCUCUCAUUCCUACAUCUUCUCUGCUAACCACUAGUCCUAGAAGCUAAUAGUAAUCAACUGAACCUCAAAAAUAUUUAAGAAUACUCUAGCCACGUAGUUCCAAAAUCUGAAAGUUCACAUAUUUUUAAAAAGUUCACGAUUGUUUUCUUAAAAAAGCCUCACGUAUUCGAAAAACAAAAUCACGAAAUUGAAAAUUCAUUAAUUUGAGAAUAAAAUUUCACAAAUUUUCAAAAAAAUCUCUAAUUUAAGAAAAGUUUGUAAGUUUGAAAAACGUUAACAGAUUUGAAAAUGUUCACAAGAUCCACAUAAGUUCACCAAAUUGUUAAAAAAAUUCAAGAAUCUUUAAAAAGUUCCAUCAAAUUCGAAAAAAGUUCAUCAAUUUUGAAAAAAGUUCAACGGAUUUCAAAACAAGUUCAUUGAUAUUUUUUUUUUAAGUUCAUCGAAUCUGCAACAGUUUUAUCAAUUUAAAAAAAGUUCAGUGUAUUUUCAAAAAAGUUUAUCAUUUUUUAUAAAUAUUUUGAACAAAAACUUGGAAAAGGUUCAUUGGAUUCGAAAAAGGUUCACCGAAUUUUGAAAAUUUCAUCAAGUUUAAAAAUAGUUCACCAUUUCGUAAAAAGUUCACAAAUUCAAAGGAAAAAAAUCAUCAAUGUUGGAAAAAGUUCAUUGGUUUUUCUAAAAAAAGUUCAUUGUAUUUGAAAAAGUUUGUCAAAUUUGAAAGAAGUUCACUGAACUAGGAAAGAGUUCAUCAAAUUUUAAAAAUUGUGGAUGGAUUAAAAAAUAAACGACUAAGAAAGAAGGAAAAUUAAAAAGAAAAUAAAAACAAAAACAGAAAACAGAUAAAAGGAAAAAUGAAAAAAGAAGAAACAAUGAUAAGGUAAAAAUGACGUAUGUUGACACAUCAAGGAAUGUGGUUACCACUCUUCGCACCGAGCUAGGAGAUCCUGGGUUCGAAUCCUACUCCUUUCCAAUAUUUGAAUGAACAGACAGACGUAAAUGGGCUAACCGGCGCCUGCAGCAUUAAAUAGGAAAUGCCGAAAUGACGAAUAGGAGGUCCCAAAAAACUGUGUGUGCCUGUGCUAGAUUGGGUCAGGCGCAUGUCUGCCUCGCGCACUAGGCUUGGCCCAUCAUCGGUGUGCUUGAGACGAGGAAGUCUUAAGCGAGACAUAGAGGCUCUCACGAAGUAUAGCAUUGUGGACUGGAGUAGAAUAUAGUUCUUUUAAGCUAAGCCUAACCCCCUUUAUGGCCCAAUACAUAUAUAAACACUACACACUCUGUGCCGGCCUACAUGCACUGACCCGAACUUGUACUCGAUCUGGUCAUGGCCCACAAAAUUGGAUCAUUCUACGUUCGAUUCUCCUUUUCUGCUGAAAAAAAUGCAAGACAAUAGAGCAUUUUUUAGGAAGCAAUACCACUAUAUAUGUUGUCAUUGCAACAAUCUAUUAUAUUAAGAGCAUCUACACCCGGACCCCUCAUACAUGUCUCAAACGCCUCGACAGGCCGUCCGACCAGUGAUCGGUCACAAAAACGCGACCCAACCGAACCUCUUAAAUCCGUCUCAAACGCCCGAGCUGACCGGCACUGCUCAUAUCCGGCCCAAAUAUAGGGCUGAUAUGGGGCGGUCCGGUCACACCGGGUGUGUCUGCCCGGUAAGCCCGGUCCAACACUGACCCCACCGUUGUCCCACAAAAUCCCCACUUUGGCCGCCUCGUUCCGAACUCUAGCUCACUCUCUCUCGCUCUGUCCCCUCCUCCCCCUCUUCGAGUAUGAUCCCAUCGUGUCCAAUGUCGAUCUCCGACAGCCGCUCCGGCUCCGACGGUCGCUCCGGCUCCAACGGCUCGGACAUCGACCCCGAGGAGUUGGCCCUCCGCAUCGCCUUGGAGCGCGGUCCAAGGUGGAGACGGCCGGAAGCUCCGGAUCUAGCGCUUAGCCACUGGUCCCGCGUCGACGGAUCUAUGACAUCGAAGCGGGACCCUCCCGGCACGCGAGCAGCUCCGUCGGGACUGCGUCCGCACCUGCCCUGCGUGCUGCCCUUUCCCCGCCGGCCGCUCCUCCACGCGGGCAUCAUUGGGUCCUAGUACCCGCACCAUUGGCCUGCACGGGCACUCCGGAAUCGGAGGCGCGCACCGCCCACCGUGAGAGGCAGCGGGCAAGGGAGAGGGAAACAAAGCAGUCUGUGCGCCACCGUCGCGAGAUGCCGGCUGAGCCCGACAAGGACGAACGCCUCCUCGCAUGGGUGUACCUCGGGUCCCUCACGACGGCAGAGACGAGUGUUCGACACCUUCGUCAGAAGAACGCCAAGGCGUUUCAGCUUGCUAUUGAGCAGUCGGAGCGCGAAGCGAAGGAGCUAGCGGAGGAGAAGGCUCGACUCGCCAAGAUGAAGCGGGAGCAGUACAGGGCCGUCCGUCGGAUGAAUGGCCUCAUCGUCUUCUUGGACUCGGACUCUGACGACGGCAACAACGACACCUCGCCCUUUGACCCUCCGCCAGCCACGAACGGCUACAACUGCGUCGACGACCCACAGGGCAAAGGGCCAGCAAGGAAGUGGUGAUCUGCCCCCCCCCCUCUACGCAUUAUUUAUAUACUCCCUCCGUCCCAAAAUUCUUGUCUUAUUGUCUAAAAAUGGAUGUAUCUAAGUACUAAAACAUAACUAGAUGCAUUCAUAUCUAUACAAAUGUAAGACAAGAAUUUUGGGACGGAGGGAGUAGUUUUUAGUUGUAGUAACGUAAGAAAUUUGUCCGAUGAACUUGAGAUGAUCUUGUGGCUGAUGUUUGAUGUCCGUUUGAAGUUGAUUUUGUGUUUGUGCGUUUUUGAUUUUGUUGUCCUAUGUUUUUUCACGUACAAUAGCUCAACGUUGCGUGGGUAGUACGGAUAUGGGUGUCGGAUAUAAGACAAGCGGAUGUGAAAAGGAAAAUAUGAAACGCGUCUGGCCAGUGUACGAGACGCGACCGUUUGAGGGGUUAGAUUUGCAAGUUACGACUAUAGAUGCUCUAAAUACUAUCUUUCCUGGUUAAAAAGACACUUAAGGCCCCUCCCCACUUCACCUAUGUCUUCGGUUUUGCCGAUUCUUCUCAUUGAUUUUUCUUAAAAGACACCUCAACUGUCUCAUGUAUUUUUAUAGCUUAGCAAAUAAAAUUAUGUUUUCGUUGGUAUGUCUAUAGGUGCUAGUUUAAUUGACAGUCGAUAUAUUAGCAGUUAUGGCGAAGCCACAAGUUCAAAGUUAUGAUCUCAAUUCAUAAUUGUGACCAAAUACGUGUGUUUAUAUGAUUUUUUUUCUUUCUUGAUUUCUACUUAUAUGUGUUGCUUUUGCACAAAUACUGUAUAGUCAACUGACUACACAGAACACAUGUGGAGUCGUCAUUGUGUAAUCACACUUACACACUAUCAAUAAAAUGACGGGUAAAUCAUGAUGAGUGCGUGCAAAAUAUUUAUGCCUCGUUGCAACACCAACCAUUAUCUAAUAGUAGUAGUUAAGAAACAAUAUCCCUGGUCCUCAAAAGGUUCUCCCUUUGCGGCAGCAAGCACAACUUGGUCAGUAACUUGUCAACUCUCAGAGCCAUUCAUGCAUCAUCACCUGAUUAAUUAUUAUUUUUAACGCAAUCACCUGAUUAAUUAAUAACUGGUGAGGGUAUAUCCGUACACAUGCAGCUCAGCUAAUUAGCCACUAGCUGCGGUUGACAUCACUUGCAUAGCUUGUGGGGCAUCACUUUGCUUUCAGCACAAGGAAGUGGUUAAUUAAUCACUUAUUUGAGCUAAGUACCAAUCCAACGUGUGCUUUUGCUUCGUCUUAGGAAGCAGGUUAUGGAGCUGUCUCGUUGAUACCUAGCUACUUGGCACUUGCAGUGGUCAAACACUUGGUAGAAAACAUUUUUUAAUUUUGAGCGUGUUCAUUCUGAUGGAUCGAGAUAGCUUGACCCCUUCAAGUUAUAUGUAAUAAUGCACAUCGAUUGUACAAGCAAAAGGCCGAUUUAAUAUACUCAUGGCAUUAUAUUACUCCGUUGCAUUACGUGAGAGAAUUCUCAAUGAUGAGUGCCAUGCAUGCACAAGGUGAAAAAACAACAAAAACAAUGAAGCGUGCAUGGUUGAUCAAGGUAUCAGUUUACCAUCCCAUUGUUUUUUUUAUCUACCGGUGGUCUACGAAUUCAUAUGUGCUAGUAUUCAGUUGGUAUAACCAUAAUCAGCGAAAAAUUCGAUGGGGCAUCAUGUAUCCGCAGCUUAGUUAUACGCAUACAUACGUAAAAUAUUCAACCCAUGCUACAAAAAAUACUUUUAUCCAUGUGGCAAUCUUGCAUUGCUCCAUAUAUAAUUUCUCAAAUAAAUUGCUAAGAUAUAUUUAAUUAUUAGAUACACGCAUGCCUAUAUGGUUGUUUAAUUACCUUUCACAACAUUUAGUUACUUUUUGUCAAUAACAUUUAACAAAUGUACAACUUGUACUAGUAAGUACGUACAACAAACAAAAUGUAGAUAUAUUGUUACCGCGACGCAUCGCUCAUAGGAGUGGACACGAAAUAGAUAGUGAUAUUGGGCAUUGCUAUUUUCUCCUUAUUGAAUUAAUAUCACAAUUGAUUCGUGUGUACAAAAUAUGAGCAUGACGCCGAGCAGUUGAGUGGCCCCAAUGUGAAUUUAUUUCUAACACCACCUACACCCCAAAUCUAAUGUUGUUAUUCAUGACCAAGUAAUCUUAUUAUUUAUGUGCCUCGUGAGUUUGCUCUUCAUAUUCGGGUUUGCAUUUGUGCAAAUGUGAGCUUCAUUAUCUUCAUGUAUGUAGAUCCGGGUUCCCUCUGCUAUGAUACCAAUUGUAGGAAACCUACUAUGUGAUGGCUUUGAUACCCAUAAUACUUGAGAACCUUCACACUCUCAAAUAAUGGGGAUAACUCGAUCUUUUAUUCACAACCACUAAUAGAAAAACUACUUUACGUGAGAUACAUUAGUCCCUGUUUGUAAACGGACGGGCACUAAUGUGACCAUUAGUGCCGGUUUAAACGGCUAGGGAGGCGCGCAUCAUUAGUCAUGAUUCGUGUUGAACCUCUAGUACCGGUUCGUGACACGAACCGGGACUAAUGGAGUGGUGACAGGCUGGUGUCUGCCUGCUUCAACUCAUGAUACUUGGUACAAACUUUAUUGGUGUCUACCUGCCAUUCUCAUUCAUAGCGGGUCCUACUACUACCUUGGUUCUCUUUCUACCUUGCUUAGUUUGGUUUAUCUUAGGAGGGGAGUCCAUCCCUAUCUAGAGUUGCACAUGACCAUUAGAUUGAUGGCAGGUGGCAACCAUCCAAAACCAAUGCAGUCAUUGCUCUCUGAAUAACCUAGAAAACACCCUACAAAUAUCUUAUAUCUAGUGUUCUCUUUAAUUUGCCACAUAAUUUAUUCAAACAUUUGUUCUAGAACCACCGAGAGAAAUAACAACUCAUGUGUAUUAAUAUCCAAAUGAUCUAGAAGUUUCUUAUCUUUGAGAUGAAUAACUUCUCUAGUAUCCUCCAUGGCAAAUAUCUUGACGUUCUCGAUUCUUAGAAAUAUCUUCAGUGACCCAAGUAUGCAUUGCAUAUUAUCAACAAUAGGAAAUCGAUAGAGUAUCUCAAGAAUGUAAACAACUAUCGGCUAUGGCAUGUCACCGUAUGAGGCCAAAUGGUGUGCAUAUGUCAACAUAGGGAGGAUAUCUAGUGGCCAAGCACUCCCGGUGCUGCCAAUGCACAAAAUCACCAUUCUAUUACUUUCUUUUUUCUUAAAAUGUUAAGUGAGUCAAUAAGAUAUGUUUGUACAAUGUGUGAAAUUUUGAAAUCAAUUCAACCUACAUAUGAUGGAGAAGCAAAAAUAAAUAAAUAAAUAAAUAGAAAUUCAGCCAUGAUGGUGUUUGUAUUUUGAUUUUUUAUAAUAUUCAUAGUUGGAUUUAUCUUUUUCGAGUAAGAUGUUUUUAUCCUCUAUCUACAUACUCCCCCUGUUCCAAAAUAAUUGUCUUAAUCUUGUACUAAUCUUAGUAUAAAAUUAUACUAAUUUUGAGAUACUUAUUUUGUGACGGAGGAAGUGGAAUUUUGUGGUGCCGACCUCUUAGGUGGGACACACACAUGCUUCCAUCGAUGUCCAUGCAUAGGAUGAUGGGAAUAUCAGCAUCUGUCAUUUUUUUUCUAACUGUUUUUACUUCUUCCUUUUUCCAACUAGCUUAGCCUAUCAAUUGCUUGUUCGUGUACAUACUUGUGUGUCUCUCUCGAUAAACUUGUCGUUCCUUGGGUGCGAUGACUUCGCAAGGAAUCCAACCUUUCUACCAGUAAAAAAAAAAAAGACAAGCCAUUGCUCUCCUCUUUAUUUUAAAGUACAUGCACUUCAAUUAUGCACGUCUCUUCCCCCUAACACGAGCAUGCAUUAUAAGUUGCUACUAUUCUAUAAGCUCCAAUUGAUUCAUCCAAAGUCCAAGAUUUGGUUACAAUAAAUAAGGAAAGUAAUUUUAAACUAAUACGAAUUUUAUUCAAUGAAUGUUCACAAUUUACAUCCUAGUUCACCCUACAUAUACAUACAUAUACACACAAGUUAAACAUGCAUCUACAAUCAGUUCUACCUAUCUUGUGACAUAAUUGUGUUCUUCUUCUACUCCGGCCUAUAAUAUCUUACACUAAUCAAUUAACUUUACACAAUAUACGGUACUAAUUUAGCCUGAUCUACAAAUUAUGCAUGAGUAAUAUCCCCCUCGAUCCAUUGAUCGACCGGCAUCAAUAGUGAAUAAUUGAUUAAUAUGUCUGCAGUCAAAUCGCUAGCUAGCUUUCUCCUAGCCCUAAUUAUCAAGGUAGCAUGCAUGGAUCAUAUCCUGUCCUGCUGGGAAGGCUGGUCUGGCCCAAAUAUGGAGAAGCCGCCGUUCAUCAUCGUCAUGGACCCAUCGCUACCCAACCACCUCUUGGAAGCGUGCAACGACGACAUUUCACCAUCGUUAUUGCUGUCCGCCGUCGCCUGCCUCUUCCGCGCCGUGCUGGCCUCGCCGUCGCUGGCCCCAGCAGUGGUGCCGAGGAAGAACUGGCCGACGGAGGUUGCAAUCUCCGGCUGUGGCGGCGGCAUGCUGUCGAAGAGCUCCGAGACGGCUGAGUAGUCCACGAGGUAGUCGGAGAUGGACGGGUUCCUCGGCAGCAUCCGGGAGGAGGAGGAGGUGUCCUCUUGCUGCUGAUGUUGCUGCUGCUGCUGCUGCUGCUGGUGGUGGUGGUGGCCGUGGCCGAGGCCGAGGGUGGCGUCCAUGGACGACGGCGACGGCGACGGCUCGUAGAAGGGCGACAGCUGCUGCGGGUUGGGCUUCUUGUAGAUCCUGCACAGCACCCAAUCAUCCAGCUGCACGCACACAAGAAGGUGAAUCAGUGCCACACACGUGUGUGCAUGUAUGUUGCAACAAACGGUCGCUUGCUAAGCUUGACAGGUAGUUGGUGCUGGUUAGCUAGUAGGUUGUGGCUUGUAAGGUAAUAGUGCAAGUCUCUUUCUUAGGGAAGGAAGAUCCCAGCGGUGAAAGAAACUAUAGCUAAUAGGACGGACAGUGGCUUCCUAGCUCAUUGACCAGGUUAGUUGCUUGCUCGAGCUCAACUCACUGACAUCCACGCACACGCAACUAAUAAGAAGAGAACAAAAGAUUCCUAGCUAGCUCCAACGAGAUGCCUUCCUCGUUAAUUUGCAGCCGCAGAAAACAUGCAUAUGCAUGUGUGAUCAAUCAAGAAGAAAUAAUAAAGCAUGAAAUUACCGAGUACAACAAGAUGAUGGAGAGAGCCAUCGCAAAAAAAGAAAAAAAGAAAGAUGAUGGAGAAAGAGUUGUGCAUGCAUGCGUACCCUCAUGGAGGACGAGGCCUUGAACCGCGUGGGGGGCCGGUAUGUGUGCGCGGCGGCGGCGGCGGCGGCGUGGGCGUCGGCGAGGCGGUACUCGUGCAUGAUCCAGUUCGUCUUGUGCCCCUUGGGCGGACGGCCCUGGUAGAACACGAGCGCCUUCUUGACGCCGACCAUCUCGCCGCCGGGCACGCCGCCGGCCGUGAUGGGCUUGUCGGUGCCGGUGGCCUUCCAGUAGCCCGACCCGGCGGCGCGGUUGGGGCGGACGCCGUUGGGGUACUUGCGGUCGCGGGGGCUGAAGAAGUACCACUCGUCGUUGUCGCCCUCGAACACCGCGCGGGACGGCAGCUCCCACGGGUCCAGCUUGUAGAUGUCCACCUCCGCGAUGACGGCCGCCGGGCACGGCGCCGCGGCCGCGCGCCUGCGGAGGUAGUGCACGAUCAGCUCCUCGUCCGUCGGGUAGAACCGGAACCCCGGCGGCAGCCCCGUGCCCGCCGGCGCCGGGAGCGACGUCGGCCUCGUCUGCAGCUCGAUCGUCAUCACACACACCCGAUCGAACGCUCGGUCAGGGGCUCAAGGCGGCGAGGGAAGGGAAGGGAAGGUGGGUCGAGAGUCGAGACGGAGGAGAACUGAAAUUUUCGGAGGUGGAGGCGACGGGUGCGGUUAUAAAGGCGCCGAGGUGCUCCGGCGCAUGGCAGGCUCUUGUAAUUCUUGGCCGCCGGUGACGAGAGGGAUGAUGAUUGCAAGGGCCCUGCCGUACGUGCGCGUCCAUCCAUAUCACGUCAUCGGCGCUCGCAGGCUCACGUACUUGGCCAGAAUCUUCAAUUUGUUGGAAUAUUUUCUCUCUUUUUUGUGCCAUGUGAGAACGAGAGAGUGGGGGAAAAUAUAUCCGAAAAAGACAUUAGCAGAAUGAAUGGAUGAAAAUUGUGCAAAUGAUUGGAGAAGUUGGAUAUUCGGCUCGGUUUGUAGGACCGGGAAGCGUUCAUGGCCCAGAGGAAUACCAUAGCACAUGAAUACCAGGUACGGUGUUUUUGUGUGUGUUUUCAUUGACCACGCAGGAAUAGCUACUCCUAUGCAUGCAUGCACUGAUGCACAUGCAUGGUGCCAUUUGCUGCUGGCUGAGACAUUUCAAAGAAAAUUAGUAUUAUUCAUUGCUGAAAUGCAAAGCUCGGAAAAUCAUUGGAGUUGUCAUAGACUACAAACUACAAGUUGAUUGAAUUCAGAUCAAGAUUUUUGUAGGCCCGGGAUUAUCCGAUCUUCAUUUAAUUCUGUUCAUUGCUAAAACGGAGGGACUUAGGAGUAUGCAUGCACAUGCAUUAGAGUCAUCUGCUGCUUAGCUGCUAGCCGAGACAUACAAAAUUAUAUUCCCUGCUGGUAUGCAAAACCAUUGGAGCUGUCUAGACUACUAAUUGAUUGAAGUUGCUUAAAUAUCUCCAUCAAACUCUAAGCAUUCAGAUCAAGAUUUAAUCAUUUUCAUAAAGCGCACGAAGGUUCUACUUGCACAGUUGAAGAGUGAAAUUUAAGAACUGGUAGUGCGCAAUUUGUAGUAACUGAAUCCAAAAGGAAAGGUACCUACGGGCGAGUUCCACUUCAUAAAAGGGGCGGUUUUGGACAAGAUUGACGACUAGUUUAUAUAGCUAUAUAUGUGUAACAAAUUAACAACCAAUAGAACUAUAAUAUUGAUGAAAAUACUCCUUGAUACUAAUCUAACCAUAUGAUUCAUGUUUCAUAUCCAAAUAUAAAAAAAUGAUAUCCAUAGUAAAUCAUUUCAUCGUUUGACAUACAACAUGUAUGUAUUCGUGGCAGUAAGAAUUAGCAAACUAAGAAUCAUUGAAAUUAAUGAAAUCAUUAAAUCACUACAAAUUGCUACCGCCCGAUUGCUAAUUAGAGUACAAACAACAUUAUAGAUCCAAAUAUCCCGCAAAAAAAAGCAUUAUAGAUCCAAAAUAAUGAAACCUCAACUUCAUCAGAGCAUCUCAAUUAACUAGUGUGUUAUGUUGUCAGAAAUUAUAUAUAUUCAUAUCAUCGACUGUAUACAACCACUCCAACAGAGUGUUUCUAAGUUAAUUUGCUCUCUAUUUUGACAUUGGAUCUUAUGCAUGUCUCUGUUACAUUAUUAUAAACCAUACGUUGCCGAUUUUAUGAGCAAUAACCUACCCCGCGGCGGGGAUGGAGGGUGUGUGGUGAUAGACAAACACGGCUAUUGAGUGGUAACAAAAACCCUACUCAUUAUACGACUAAUACAGUAGAUACAGUAGAAGAUCUAAGUUCCAGUAGAUGGUGAGAGAAUCAAAGCUUGCUCUAUUUCCACCUUGGAGCUUGUGCAUAGCAUUAUGGUUCAUCUAAAUACAAGCUUCAUAUAUAUCCUUAUAUUAUUUAGUUUAAUUAUGUGAUGUCACAUAAAUUUUACAUGACAAAUUUUACCCAUGAUCAUGUCACCAAACACCAAAUGCUUGCGAUGCCGCUAGCUAUGAGACGAAAUUAGCUUACACCAUUAAUAUAUCCUUUUUUAGGCCGGAUUUGACUUUUGUGCCUUGUGAUGGGAAUGAUUGGCUUGCGUGCUAAACUGGCUUAGCUAAGCUCUAGGUAGUCCGAAGUCGCUGGAGACUCUGGAGAAAGCUUUUUCGUCUACUCUUACUCCACAAGAAGAAUAUGCACGACCGGGCCAUCACCUGAUCGAUUAUAUGGAUAGUUUAAUCUAUGGAGAAUUCCAUCAAGCCGCGCGACUAUAUAUAUAAUCUUCAAUUAUAUCUGAUUUUGUACAAGGUACUGGUGAACUAUGCACUACUCGAUCGAUUUGCUUGCGUAGGUCAGAUUGAAAAAACAGUGCACAUCAACUCAAUUAUGUAUGUGCAUAGGAUCGAAUGAUUCGCUGGGGAUAUGCCGAUAAACCCUAGGAAGAAGUUAAAGCUAGCUAGCUAGCUACUCCCUCCGUUACGGUUUAGAAGGCACAGUUAAACUUGUGUGCGUUUUUAAAAUAGACAAGGUUUAAACGCGAAAGCAAUUACUCCUAUUAAUUAGUACUAGUACUACUCAUGCAUGCGUCCUCCUAAUUUGUUGCUCACGCAUUAGUACUAGUAUUUUUUCAGUUGAUUAGGCGCAUUAGCAUCUACACCUGCUACAUCUCACAACCAAUCGGUGACUACCUUGGUACCAGAGAUUUUUUCAAACGUGUCUUCUAAACCGUGACGGAGGGAGUAGCAGACAUGGUUUAAGAGUAUACAAAUAAAUCCAGUCUUUUUAUGCAUGCAAGCAUGCAUUAAAGGGCCAGCACUAGCUCUUGUUUUGCACUUUUUUUACGAAUAACUGGCCUCAGCGUAAUUAACAACAUGCAUACAGUCAACACAUCUGAUUUUUAUUAAAACAUCACUUUAAAGGAACCAUAAAUAAGAAGUAGCCUGGGAUAUAUGAGGUCCUAUUCGAGGGUGGGGAAAAACAUUUCUGUAUGCUUCAAUCGAGUGGACACCAUCAUAAAAAGAUACAUAUCUUCCGGCCUCGGACAGACCUAGCUAGUAAGAAGUCAUUGUAUAUUUGUAUACACACAUAAAUAACCUUGAGUAUGGAGGUAGCUACUAGCCAAGUUGAUGAGAUUAUUGUGCAUGUGGUUUCUCUCUUUAGAAAGUGCCUGUGCAUGCAGCUUAACUUCUCCCUCGAAUUAACCUCAUAAGACACUAGCAUAACGUACACAUAAUCAUACUUAUAAGUUAUAAUUAAGCAAACAUAUGCACGCAUGCAUGCCACCAGCAGUACAUACAGUACAAAAUCUAUCUAUCUGAUCCAUUUCGCACGUGCGUGCUUUCAGGGACAGUAACGUUGCACAAGGCGUGACGGCGCCUUCUCUUCCUCCGGCUUAUUAUUACAUGCAUACCAAGGCUGUCCACGUGUACAACACCCGGCCGGCCUGUCAGAGUCUCUCUUACGUGCCGACCAUGGAUGCAUAUAAGCUAUAGCAGGAGCAUCGAUCCUACAGCUAGAUCAUCUUGAGGAGGAGUAGCUUACAUCUGCGUGUACAGCUGGUGCAUGCAACUGGUGGGUCCAUCAUCAUAUGCUGAUGGUUCAGCUAGAUAUACUUUCAUGCAUGCACACGUGUGUGUAGGUGCUCGAGCGGGUCCCGUCUAAUUCUUGUUAUGAAAAGGAUGCAGAGGGAGGGAGGGAGACUAGUCGCCGAUCAUGACAUCCACUCGUGCUAUGCUGGCUACUUCUACCCAUCUCAUACACGGUUUGGCAUGCCAAACACUGCUAGGACUUUUUUCUAUAUAUAUCCUUGCGUACUUAAUCAUAUCUCGAAAAUCGAUGCAUAUAUGGCAUAUAUACAUGCAUGCGCAAAGGAAAGUCUUUUUAGUUUUCAAACGAUAAAUGUCACAAGUGUGACAUGAAAUAACACCGUCCUGACGUUUUAUAAACGAAAAUUGUUAUCAAACAGAAAGUUGGCGUGCUUCACAAUUAAAAUUGGCAUCCUCCGAUAACUAAACUUGUCAUCAAAAAAUGUUGAAAUUGCUUCUUGCCAUACAUGUGACGUUUAUCAUGGUCCUUUAGUUUCAAGAAAAGUCAAAAUUGAUUCUACGUACCAACCGGUCAGCUUGGUUAAUUAGCUACCAACAAAAUUUGCAAUAAAAAUGAUUAUAAGAGGUUUAGAGCUAAAAUUGUAUUUUGGACCUGUGUGUUUAGCGCCUAUUGAAGGCAUAAAUCGAUGGAAUUUGGAUUUAAAAUUUUCGACGCAUUUUCUCACAAUUUGUUGUCUUUUGGUGGCCGGUGCAUGAAUAGUAGCACUGUAAAGUUUGACGGUACAUCAAUAAUAGAUAGACAAUAUUUUGAGUUGGAUAGAUAGGUACUUUCUCAAAGAGCAGUACUAACUAUCUUAGUAGCAAAGUGGCAUCUCUCCUAGUAUUUUCGGAUAAGUGCAUCGAUAUCUCCUAGUAACACACGUACGUACUACUUAGUUAUUACCAGUGUAUUCAUGUAGGCACACGUGGUCAGGUUCGAGUGGACGAUGAGUGGCUAGCGAGCUAAACAAGCUACCCAGCUAGUGCCAAAUAAGAGGGAAGAAAUGCAAUACGUGAUUGAUAGGACGAUGAUACGGACGGAUGGAUGGUGAUCGAUCAUCCCCGUACCCAUCAAAUAUCGUUUUCAGGUUAAAGCAGCAGCUAUUUCCAGAGAUCGAUAGCAAGACACGCAUGCACGUGUCGACAGGCCGGAAAGAUGGAAUCUAUUUUCAUGAUAUAUAUGCAUCAUUUGUUUAUUUAUUUGUGAAAGGGCAAAAUUCCAUAUAUAAAACAUCACAAAUCUUUAUAAAACAAUCUUACAAAAUUUAAAAAUACAUCUAAAUCUUUGGAGGUGCUGAAGUCUUCUUUCUCCUACACAUAUGAUGGCAUGCCUUAUUACCGUCUCUAGGACUUCGUCUCAGCGGAGUAUACUCUUUUUUGUUCGAAUUCAAUGGAGCUAACUUGGUGAAACGCAGGAACGAAACAAGUAUGUGCAUGUAAAAUUGAAACAUAAACACGACCAUUUGUGCUUGGUGCAAGAAGAGCAAAACGGCCAAGCAGCGGUGUGAGCUACAAGUGCGGAAACAAGCAACCAACAUGUUAUUUUUGCACUGCACCAGCAAAUGAUCAAGUUUCAGUUUCAAAAUUUGCAUGCACAUACUUUAUAUUCAUUCUCUACGCAUGCAUGAUUAUUAUGAACUUUUAAAAACUUACAUGAUGUGUUUUUCAGAACCAAAACUCACUAUAGAGAGUCCGACGCACCCAGUACCACAUUAGCACUUUCCAGGUGUAUAUGCUACAUCUGGUACUUCCCCCCGUUUUCUUGGUGUUGGAAACUUCAAACCUGACGAUCCAUCUAGUGGACUUGAUAAUUAAUGGUCAUGGAUAAUACAGUGAAAGCAUUUGUGGUGCCAUUUACUUGACUGCUACAUGCGGUAGCAGCCUCAUGAAGUCAUGAGUCUUGAUCGCCAUGGGUACGUACAGGCCAGCCACAAGAACAUGCAUUUUUGUCUUUCUCGUGACUCGAUCAAUCGAUCAAUCAUGCCCACAUAAUCGAAAUUUCUCUCCUCCGCCAAGUAAAUAAAAUUGUAUGUAUCGAUGGGGUUAACUGAAUUUCACAUAAUUGACCCGACCGAUCGAUCGAGGCAAAAGAGGGAGCGCAAAGUGAGCAACAUCAACAGCACGUGCCACUCGAUAGCUAGGUGCCAAACAGAAAGAAAGAUAGAAAGAAGUAAAACCGGCCAAGCAGGAGUUUUCCCUAUACGUGAAUGUGACCCGUUCAGUGCAUGCAUACAUAUGUAUAUUUAUUCCACUUUUGACCCGACCACAUCAAUCGUAUCUAAUCUCUUGUAGCACAAAGGGAUGACUCGGUUCCAAGUUGUGAUGUUUACUGUGUACCUCAAGUUGUUUGUCUAUUUCAUUGCUCUUCACUCUUAUACGACGCUAAGCACUUGAAUUUUUGAGAGACGUUAAAUUCAGCCAGUGCAACAGGAGCGUGCACCGGAAAUUUUCUUCUCCGCCCACUUCCUACGUUACGUACGCAUAGGUGGUCUUUGGUUGGGUUAUGGAUUUUGUGAAAUAAAUAGGUGGUCUUUUAGCAAACAUCUCAUACAAUAAUUGUAUUUUUGAACAGUUGUAAUUUUUAAUGACAAAACUGAAUAGUGAAACACAACUAGUGGCAUAAUGAUAAAAACCCGUUAAUGUGAGGAGCCAAAGGAAAAAAGAAGAAUGAAGUGGUAUGGGGAUCCUACUGGCAAUAUUUUGUACUACCUAGGACUACUAUUCCAUCAGCCACUCAUCAGAGUUCCUCUCAAAGAAACCAAAGAAAAAUGACUCCGGACAAAGUUGAUUUUUUUCUUUCAAAACAUCAUAUCACUGAAAGAAUAAUUAUGAGACAUCAAAACUUCAAACAUAGGGUUUGAUCCCUGAUGGGUUAUAGAUACCAUCAUUCUCUUAACCUAAUACUUUUUUUAAUGGAGGGAGCAUAUGACAUCCGGACGACUAUUAUUUUUCUGAGUUCUUAUUCGCGCACAAGCACACAAUCGACUCAGAAAAGUAAAUGAACUAGCUAGACGCAUACAUGGUACAUGCCACAUCUGGUGCUUUCGUCCCGCUUUCUUGGAGUGAAAAUUCCAAAGCAGACGAUCGAGUUAGCUAGUGAGCUUGGAUUUUGUGUGAUCGUCUAGUCUUGACUACUGGCAGCCUCUCUUAGUCUUGAUCACUACCUGCAGCCUGUCAAUAAACAUAUGCAUUUUGUUUCUCUCGUGACUCGCUCAGCCAAUCAUAUCCAUAUGAUUAAGGCGACUCUCUUCUUUCCGCGUGAAAACCAAUCGUGUCCAGGGUGUUGAUUAUAGUUGACGGGUUAAAGGAGGAACGUAAACAACAAGAACAACACGUGCUAGAUGCCCCGCUGCCAAUCAGAAAGAAAGAAGUAAAACCGGCCAUCAAAGCAGGAGUUUUCCCAAAGUGACUACUGUUCGGUGCAUGAAUAUAUUAUAUUACUACCUUUUCCCACUUUUGACCCGACCAAUCGUUCUAUCCAAUCCAUCCAAUCUCCUCAAGCACAAAGGGGGCGACGCUAUUCGAGGCUGCAGUAACGCUGUCAAAAUUCGAUUCUUUUACGACGCUAAUUAAGCACUUGAUUAUGGAGAUGCAUUAGUUUGGUCAGAGCAACACGAGAGCUACUGGUGCCCUAACGCACGACGCGGGCAUGCGCCUGAUCAAACUAGCACGGGCACACACAGUUUUCCUCACUUUAAUUUUACCGACCAUCAUGACAAAUAUCUUACUCGAGCAACUUCCUAAGACAAAAGCAAAAGCACACGUUGGAUUGGUAGUUAGCUCAAAUAACUGAUUAAUUAAGCACUUUCUUGUGCUGAAAGGAAAGUGAUGCCCCACAAGCUAUGCAAGAAUGUCAACCGUAGCUAGUGGCUAAUUAGCUGAGUUGCAUGUGUACGGAUAUGCCCUCGUCAGUUAUGAAUUAAUCAAGUGAUGGUGCAUGAAUGGCCUUAAGAGUUGACCAAUUACUCACCAAGUUGUUCUUGCUGCCACAAAGGGAGAACCUUUUUGACGAUUGGGAAAACUGUUUUUAGCUGCUACUCCCUUGCAUUUUAGUUGAUCUUUAAUUUAACUAAGUAAAUAAUAAGUUAUACUCUAGGUCAAAAUUAAAGUAUACCACACACUAGUAGAAAAAGGGCCUUUAGCCCCGGUUCGGUUGGGUCAUUAGUCCCGAUUCACGAACCGGGACUAAUGCUAGCCCCGGUUCGGCCCCGAACCGGGGCUAAUGUCCUUCCACGUGGCGGGGCUAGGAGCGAGGGGGGAGGGG